This 457-nucleotide ribosomal RNA is filed under the name Salmonella enterica. RNAcentral's name for it is "bacterial SSU rRNA". It matches the Rfam family "Bacterial small subunit ribosomal RNA", at positions 1 to 454 of the family's 1533-position model. Lineage: Bacteria; Pseudomonadati; Pseudomonadota; Gammaproteobacteria; Enterobacterales; Enterobacteriaceae. RNAcentral also lists the same sequence under 1 other name. The record is from RNAcentral.
AAAUUGAAGAGUUUGAUCAUGGCUCAGAUUGAACGCUGGCGGCAGGCCUAACACAUGCAAGUCGAACGGUAACAGGAAGCAGCUUGCUGCUUCGCUGACGAGUGGCGGACGGGUGAGUAAUGUCUGGGAAACUGCCUGAUGGAGGGGGAUAACUACUGGAAACGGUGGCUAAUACCGCAUAACGUCGCAAGACCAAAGAGGGGGACCUUCGGGCCUCUUGCCAUCAGAUGUGCCCAGAUGGGAUUAGCUGGUUGGUGAGGUAACGGCUCACCAAGGCGACGAUCCCUAGCUGGUCUGAGAGGAUGACCAGCCACACUGGAACUGAGACACGGUCCAGACUCCUACGGGAGGCAGCAGUGGGGAAUAUUGCACAAUGGGCGCAAGCCUGAUGCAGCCAUGCCGCGUGUAUGAAGAAGGCCUUCGGGUUGUAAAGUACUUUCAGCGGGGAGGAAGGUGU